Mycena vulgaris is the source of this 92-nucleotide non-coding RNA. The record is from the annotation of a GenBank genome assembly. NCBI's taxonomy places the organism in Eukaryota, Fungi, Basidiomycota, Agaricomycetes, Agaricales, Mycenaceae.
GCCUCUGUGGAUGAAUGGAAAUCACCUUGAUCCUGUAUGUUGUACUGCUCGGAUCUCGCGAGGAGAUGUGGGUUCGAAUCCCACCACAGGCA